CCAAUAGCGUAUAUUAAAGUUGUUGCAGUUAAAAAGCUCGUAGUUGAAUUUCAGGCCUGGCUGGGCGGUCCGCCUUUUGGGUGAGUACUGCCUGUGGUCGGGUCCUACCUUCUGGCGAAGCGUCAUGGCCUUAACCGGCCGUGGCGGGGAACCAGGACUUUUACUGUGAAAAAAUUAGAGUGUUCAAAGCAGGCAUUCGCUUGAAUACAUUAGCAUGGAAUAAUGGAAUAGGACAGUGGUUCUAUUUGUUUGUUUCUAGGACCGUUGUAAUGAUUAAUAGGGAUAGUUGGGGGAAUUAGUAUUAAAUUGUCAGAGGUGAAAUUCUUGGAUUUAUGGAAGACUAACUACGGCGAAAGCAUUUGCCAAGGAUGUUUUCAUUAAUCAAGAACGAAAGUUAGGGGAUCGAAGACGAUCAGAUACCGUCGUAGUCUUAACCAUAAACUAUGCCGACUAGGGAUCGGAUGAUGUUGAUUUUUUAAUGACUCAUUCGGCGCCUUACG
Molecule: ribosomal RNA, 500 nt
Filed under: uncultured Glomeromycotina
Lineage: Eukaryota; Fungi; Glomeromycota
Description: partial small subunit ribosomal RNA
Rfam family: Eukaryotic small subunit ribosomal RNA
Source: RNAcentral